RNAcentral lists this ribosomal RNA (482 nucleotides) under uncultured bacterium. RNAcentral describes it as "bacterial SSU rRNA". It matches the Rfam family "Bacterial small subunit ribosomal RNA", at positions 384 to 856 of the family's 1533-position model. The record is from RNAcentral.
UGACGCAGCGACGCCGCGUGAGUGAGGAAGGCCUUCGGGUCGUAAAGCUCUGUCAAGAGGAAAGAAGUGUACAAUGGCUAAUACCUGUUGUAUUUGACGGUACCUCUAAAGGAAGCACCGGCUAACUCCGUGCCAGCAGCCGCGGUAAUACGGAGGGUGCAAGCGUUGUUCGGAAUCACUGGGCGUAAAGGGCGCGUAGGCGGCUUGGUAAGUCAGAUGUGAAAGCCCACGGCUUAACUGUGGAAGUGCAUUUGAAACUGUCAGGCUUGAGUACCAGAGGGGAAAGUGGAAUUCCCGGUGUAGAGGUGAAAUUCGUAGAUAUCGGGAGGAAUACCGGUGGCGAAGGCGACUUUCUGGCUGGAUACUGACGCUGAGGCGCGAAAGCGUGGGGAGCAAACAGGAUUAGAUACCCUGGUAGUCCACGCUGUAAACGAUGUGAACUAGAUGCAGGGGGUGUUGAUCCCUUCUGUGUCGCACCUAAC